GAUGAACGCUGGCGGCGUGCCUAAUACAUGCAAGUCGAGCGAACGGACGAGAAGCUUGCUUUUCUGAUGUUAGCGGCGGACGGGUGAGUAACACGUGGAUAACCUACCUAUAAGACUGGGAUAACUUCGGGAAACCGGAGCUAAUACCGGAUAAUAUUUUGAACCGCAUGGUUCAAAAGUGAAAGACGGUCUUGCUGUCACUUAUAGAUGGAUCCGCGCUGCAUUAGCUAGUUGGUAAGGUAACGGCUUACCAAGGCAACGAUGCAUAGCCGACCUGAGAGGGGGAUCGGCCACACUGGAACUGAGACACGGUCCAGACUCCUACGGGAGGCAGCAGUAGGGAAUCUUCCGCAAUGGGCGAAAGCCUGACGAAGCAACGCCGCGUGAGUGAUGAAGGUCUUCGGAUCGUAAAACUCUGUUAUUAGGGAAGAACAUAUGUGUAAGUAACUGUGCACAUCUUGACGGUACCUAAUCAGAAAGCCACGGCUAACUACGUG
RNAcentral lists this ribosomal RNA (497 nucleotides) under uncultured bacterium. Its description in RNAcentral is "partial 16S ribosomal RNA". It matches the Rfam family "Bacterial small subunit ribosomal RNA", at positions 28 to 507 of the family's 1533-position model. The record is from RNAcentral.